RNA transcript from Bubalus bubalis (water buffalo), 4343 nucleotides. It is a transcript of the gene named predicted GPI-anchored protein 58, with no coding region annotated. The transcript is spliced from 4 exons. The record is from RefSeq and is a predicted model, not a curated record. NCBI's taxonomy places the organism in Eukaryota, Metazoa, Chordata, Mammalia, Artiodactyla, Bovidae.
AGUCAGACAUGACUGAGCGACUAACACUAACUAACCAGCUCCAUGCUGGCUGUGGAGGAAGGCUUAGUCUGAGGCCUGGCAAACAGGGCAGUUCCUGGAGACCAACCAAUUGGGAGUUAGGAAGGUUAGAACUCAAAUUGUGUCAGUUUUCACAGGUAAUAGGUUAAGUUGAAACCUCUAUUGGGGUCUGAUAGAAAAAUAAAAAGAGCCUGUGGUUUCAGGAACGCGCUUCAGCAACCCGAAAGAACUAAACACAAAGGAGUCCUAAGGGCUGGUAUGUAAAGUGAAACUUACAAGCUCUUCCUUUGACCUUGGCCAAGGUCGUUCCCUCUGGCCUCACCAGUCCCGUUCAUUCUAUGGGGGAAGGUCCCAUUUAAGGCCCAGGGAACUGAAGAAAGAAGGCAGGUAGAAGGGCAACACUCAGUCUGGUGCCGACCCCCAGGCGGACGACGUCGCAGGAGGGCAGCGCGGGAAGUCGCCCCGGGUGCCGCAGCAGCGAGAGAAGGGCUGCAACCUGGCGAGGGACUGGGUGAGGUGGGGGUGGGGUCGGAGGAGGGGUCCUCCGCCUGUGUCUGUCGCCUCCUGCCGAGGUCAGGGCGCCCCCUCCUCUUCUCAGACUCCUCCGGCCUCGCCCCUCCCGCUCACAUUCCCAACUCCUGAAGACAACUUGUCGCUCACUUCAGAAGCCCGGGGCUCCUUUCUGUCCCCCCCGACUCUGCUUUCUCCCACUUCUUUUGUCUAUUUCUGCAUCUGACCGCUUCUCUGGGAAGCUUUCCUCGAACUCUCUUCCCUACAGUCUGUAAUACGCUCCCCACCCCACCCCACCCCCACCUCGCCUUUGCCUCCCUAUCUCUCUCCACACACACACACACACACACACACACACUCUCUCUCACACCCUCUUUUCUCUGCCGGCCAUCUCGGCGCCUUUCCUCUGCGGCCCUGCCCUUCCAGAAGCAGGCAAGGCCCAUUCUGGGAACCGCCGCGCUGCGAUCCGACGGCGCCCCAGGGAGGGGCAGGCUCGGUCGUGCCCACGUCCCGGGUUCCUGCAGCCCUGGAAGACUCGCGGAGUACAGCGCGGUCCGGAGAGAGGGCGCCAAAGGCGACACGCCGGCGGCCAGCUCCAGGCCAAGCCCAGUGCGUCUGCAGGCCCCUUCACCCGGCGCGGGACACAAAGCUGCGGGAGGAGGAUCUUCUUCAGCGCGGACUCAGCACCAGGCCGCCGCCUAGAGGUCGGCGGCGGCCACAGCCCCAUCCGCCAGCGACCUCAGAGCUGCUUCCGCAGCCGACCCAGAAAUUGGGGUGGGCAGGGAGCGAAUUCAGCUCGGGUUUCAGGAGCACGGCCUCUGGCACCUUUGACUUGUCUGAGACAGCCCCCGCUUAAUGAACCCUAGGAAGGGACGCGGACCUGGAAGGCCCAAAAAUAUUUAUUCUUGUAAUUCUCACUAAAUGGGAGGGGGCGGUGGUGUCGCAAUUUCUGUUCCUUUGAGGAUCCGGUGUUGGGCAUCUCGUCUUCACUGUCUCAUCUCGCCAUCCAAAUUGUCCAUUCUCCACCAAUUAUGCUAGAACUCUGCUUUGUCUUCCAGGAGGGACUGCAGUAGGAAAAAGCCUCCCCCAAAUCUAACAGCUUGAUCAUCUACAUUUUCAAUUUUCAGAAGAACUUGGAAAUGGAAGUGCUUUUGGAAAAAAUGUUGAGGGUGAAAAGAAACAUUGCCUAAGUGGCCUUUACUCACUCAUACCAUCAACUAGUGUAUGAGAGACUUUCAGGAGGUUGCUUGUUGGCACCAGCUCCCCUGUUGCUGCGUAUCUGUGGUGAGCAUUUGAAAGUUGACUCUGGGGCCAGGUGACCUCGGGAUGAAAAAGGCUGCCCAGCAUCUAUGGUUUCAGGUGCUGGAGGCCCCAUGCAGAGUUUAAUUUUUAAACUGAAAUCCAAGGCCUGGGUUCCUGGGAUGGGGUAAAGGGAAACCAGAAAGCCCCCCAAAAAGUGUGUGCAAAAUUAGUGUGUGCUCAGGUAUGUCAUUCUAAGGCUGUAGUCUCUUCCGUUUUUCCAGAUUCCCCAGAGACUGAGGUCAGCAAUGGGCAGGGGGCCAGCUCACUGACCCGUCUCUGCCCGCCCUCACCCCACAGCCUAGGAGGGCGGGGGUGGGCAACGGCAUUCUAGAACGGUGUGGAAACUGCCGCCCUCUGGUCUGCUCUUCUUCUGUCACUAAUAACUCUCAGAGGCAAAUCCUGAUAGAAGGAGUGACUGUUUAGUGGGGGGGAAAAAUGUACAGCAAGAUGAGGAGUGAAAAGAGGGAAAUGGGGCGCAUGCUGGAGGGGCGCCCCAUGCAUAUCCUGGAAUAUGGAUGUUGGGAUAGAAACAAGUUACUUCCUGUCUUCCAGCUGUUAAUGAGCUCCCAGCUUCUUCCUUCUUCUUGGUGAAGGGGAAGGGGCCAGAGGGCAUUCCCCAACCCUUGCCAGCUAAAGCAGAGUGGGACUGCCUGAAGCAGAGUUGGCCUUUCAGAAAAUUUGAAAACUGUAAGCCACAGCCUCAUAUUUUUCCUGUCCAUGCCACUUUUAAUCCAUUUUUUAAAAAUCCCCAGUAAUGCUUUGGGGCCUUUUCCUGGAGGGGUAGGUGGUGGAGUUCAUGAGUCAUGCAGGGCCAUACCUGUGUGUCUGAGCCAGAAGGUGAGCAUCAGUGCACCAGACCCCCACCUCCGUCUGCAGCCGGGCCUCAGUCCUGUACACAAACCUCCCCAGAGCCUGUUAGACCCGAAUCCUUGGUUGUUUUCUCUUGUUUUGUUUUGUGAAUAACUAGUGAGGCACGCUGGAAUUCCUUUGCUCUCCCACCCUGAAGCGCACUUAACCAGACCCCUUCAUCAGACAAAGUGAGCAAGAAAUCAGUAACUUCACUCCCAGUUAUCUGGAGCCCAAGGUGAAAGGGAUUUUUUCUCAGUUUUGGUUACACGGCCGAACUGCCCUUCCAAAUCUGGAUUCUACGAAGUUUGUAAAAACAAAACAAAACAGAAAAAUGGACCAGGGCAGAAAAGAACUGUGGGGAGGAUUAGUGGCGGGCUGGGUAGUGGUCAUUUUUGUUUGAUUUUGAGUAUUUUAGGAAAGCAGAGAGAAGAUGAUUUGGGACACUAUUAGCCGCUGGCCGUCACUGCCACUCCGGCGAAGACCGGCCCCUCGGUUUCUCCUCUGGGUGCCCUUGCCCGACUCAGCCCCUCAGACCUUCUGACUCUCUUCUCCUCCUUUCCAGCAAGUUCCUGGCAAUAAACAGGGAUGAGCAGGGCAAAGAUCUGGCGGCUAGAGGGAAAAAAGGGGAAAAAACCCGCUUUCGGCGGAAAGAUGCAAAGAACCGAGGUCAGGCCGUGGCUGGCAGUCAGAGCCGUAACCAGGAGGCCCGGCGCCUAACUCUGCUCGCGAGGAGCGGGGAGGCGAGCAGAGGCCUCGGGGCGUUUUCCGGGGGGAGGUGGCCUCCAGACUCCGUGAACGCCGAGCGGGGCGGCGGGGACCGCGGGCCAAGUCCGAGGCCAGACCGCUUCUCUCCACGCGGACAUCGCCCGCCCGGCGAAAGAAAGGGGCCGAGCGGGUGCUUCCGCGGCUCGUAAAUUUGUUUCCCCUUCCUUUAACCCGCCCUCGGCCGUCUUUCUUUUCAGGACAGGAGGGGAUGUAAACCAUUUGAAGUUCAUCAACACGGUGAAGUUUUAUUGUAUUUCCGGUCCCCAAGAUUUAUACCCGGGAGGGGGAGCGGGCGGCCCCGCAGACUCCUGCGCCCCCUCGGACUUCCUCGUCUGACACGUGGCCGCUGGGACCCUGGCCUCCCGGACGAGGCCGGGAGGGAGCCCGGCCGGGCGGGACAGGACCCCUGGCUCCGCGCCUGCCGCCCCUUCCGACGGCCGCUCCCGCCACCGCCGCCGCCCAGAGUCACCUCUCCUGAGAAGAUGACAAGACCUCCAAAACCUGUCACUUUGGAAUUAUUCCCACCCUCCAGCUUGUUUGUGAGCAAAAGCUAAGUUUUGGUCUCAGAAAAGAGGUCUGAGUCCCCUCUUCACCCAGCACCCCGGAGCCACCAGGGGUUAGGGGCAACUCACCAGACAGACAGCAGUCCACAAACCUGUCUGUGGGGACACCCCACCCUUGUAGGGCACAGGUCAUGAGCCUAAAUGUUCUUCUUCCUCAAACUUCUUCCCUAAACUAAGUGACUCUCUCAACUUCUCUCUUGUCACAAAGAGAGGCAGCCGCAAAGCCAGAGACAGAAUGGCAACCAGAAGGGCGGGAGCCCAGCGUCUGCACAGCCUGGGUCUUAAGAAGAGCCCAGUGCGCUGUAGCUUUGUCAUAAAUAAAAAAGUCCCUGGCCA